AAGGUGGCCUGUGAGGGUUGCUGGAGGUAUCAGAAGUGCGAAUGCUGACAUAAGUAACGAUAAAGCGGGUGAAAAGCCCGCUCGCCGGAAGACCAAGGGUUCCUGUCCAACGUUAAUCGGGGCAGGGUGAGUCGACCCCUAAGGCGAGGCCGAAAGGCGUAGUCGAUGGGAAACGGGUUAAUAUUCCCGUACUUGGUGUUACUGCGAAGGGGGGACGGAGAAGGCUAUGUUGGCCGGGCGACGGUUGUCCCGGUUUAAGCGUGUAGGUGUGUGUUCCAGGUAAAUCCGGUUCACUUUAACACUGAGGCGUGACGACGAGGCACUACGGUGCUGAAGCAACAAAUGCCCUGCUUCCAGGAAAAGCCUCUAAGCAUCAGGUAACAUCAAAUCGUACCCCAAACCGACACAGGUGGUCAGGUAGAGAAUACCAAGGCGCUUGAGAGAACUCGGGUGAAGGAACUAGGCAAAAUGGUGCCGUAACUUCGGGAGAAGGCACGCUGACACGUAGGUGAAGUGAUUUACUCACGGAGCUGAAGUCAGUCGAAGAUACCAGCUGGCUGCAACUGUUUAUUAAAAACACAGCACUGUGCAAACACGAAAGUGGACGUAUACGGUGUGACGCCUGCCCGGUGCCGGAAGGUUAAUUGAUGGGGUCAGCGCAAGCGAAGCUCCUGAUCGAAGCCCCGGUAAACGGCGGCCGUAACUAUAACGGUCCUAAGGUAGCGAAAUUCCUUGUCGGGUAAGUUCCGACCUGCACGAAUGGCGUAAUGAUGGCCAGGCUGUCUCCACCCGAGACUCAGUGAAAUUGAACUCGCUGUGAAGAUGCAGUGUACCCGCGGCAAGACGGAAAGACCCCGUGAACCUUUACUAUAGCUUGACACUGAACAUUGAGCCUUGAUGUGUAGGAUAGGUGGGAGGCUUUGAAGCGUGGACGCCAGUCUGCGUGGAGCCGACCUUGAAAUACCACCCUUUAAUGUUUGAUGUUCUAACGUGGACCCGUGAUCCGGGUUGCGGACAGUGUCUGGUGGGUAGUUUGACUGGGGCGGUCUCCUCCUAAAGAGUAACGGAGGAGCACGAAGGUUGGCUAAUCCUGGUCGGACAUCAGGAGGUUAGUGCAAUGGCAUAAGCCAGCUUGACUGCGAGCGUGACGGCGCGAGCAGGUGCGAAAGCAGGUCAUAGUGAUCCGGUGGUUCUGAAUGGAAGGGCCAUCGCUCAACGGAUAAAAGGUACUCCGGGGAUAACAGGCUGAUACCGCCCAAGAGUUCAUAUCGACGGCGGUGUUUGGCACCUCGAUGUCGGCUCAUCACAUCCUGGGGCUGAAGUAGGUCCCAAGGGUAUGGCUGUUCGCCAUUUAAAGUGGUACGCGAGCUGGGUUUAGAACGUCGUGAGACAGUUCGGUCCCUAUCUGCCGUGGGCGCUGGAGAACUGAGGGGGGCUGCUCCUAGUACGAGAGGACCGGAGUGGACGCAUCACUGGUGUUCGGGUUGUCAUGCCAAUGGCACUGCCCGGUAGCUAAAUGCGGAAGAGAUAAGUGCUGAAAGCAUCUAAGCACGAAACUUGCCCCGAGAUGAGUUCU
RNAcentral lists this ribosomal RNA (1576 nucleotides) under Salmonella enterica. RNAcentral describes it as "bacterial LSU rRNA". It matches the Rfam family "Bacterial large subunit ribosomal RNA", at positions 1253 to 2812 of the family's 2925-position model. Lineage: Bacteria; Pseudomonadati; Pseudomonadota; Gammaproteobacteria; Enterobacterales; Enterobacteriaceae. The record is from RNAcentral.